GCCAAGCUUCUUCAAAGAAGUUUCCUUUACCUUCCAGCUUUGUGUUUUGUCCCAAUCUAUUGAAAUCUGCCUGCGCCAAAUCACUUCUUUGAAAUUGUUCACAUCAAGGUGUUGAUGCCAGUUCUGAAAUGUCUGUCUGGGAGCUGUCUGAGCAGAGGCAGACCUGAAUGUGCCAACGAUAAGCUGGAGGCCACACACCUGUGCUUAUUUCAAUCAGUGCUGUCCCUGCCUUCAAGAUGUGUCACCUUUCUGACAAAUUGAAGGCAAGACUGUCCACCUGCAAAGUUAUUAAGACUCACUUUAUUGUGAUACUCACUUCAUUGCUGGGGUCUGGAACGAAACCCACAACUCCAAAGUAUGCCGUCCACCGUGACCUUAUUUGGAAGACACUUUGAGGUGGAGAGUUCUUCAUGUCUCUUUGGAGUGUCCUUGGGCUUGCUAACACAGAGGCCCAUCCAAGGGGAGCAGUGAAGUGCCAGAUUGUAGUGGCUUUGCCAGCUUGCGUCCCUGAAUGAAGACAACAUGGCACAGAACCCUUAGCACAACCCAAGACAGGCAUGAGGGUAACAUUAUGCUGGAGAUGCUGGUUAGAACAAAUGGCAAAGUAUUGCAGAGGAAAAAAGGACUGUCAUUGUUUAUAGAAAACAUGGUUAUCGAAAGAAUCUCCAGGUAAACUAUAACAAUUAGCAGGUGAAUUUAGUAAAUUGAGCAUACAUAUAUCAACUUGCAUUUUAUAUUCCCGCAAAAAGUGAUUAGAAAAAAUUAACACUGCAUAAUGAAUAAUGUGUAAGGUCUUCCUCUAUACAGAACACUGUUUAAACAUUGAGAGAUUUUAAACAUAUUGGGAUGGAAUCCAGAUCAAAAGCAAAGCAUUCAGAGAUGCCCAUAAAACGUUAGCACUAAUUUCACGUAAGCCCCAAUAAGAAGGUCACAACCUCUUAGCUGCUCAUCAUAGGAUGGUUUUCAAAAAACUGCCAUGAAAACUUCAAUGACUUCAAAGCUUUGAUCAUUCCCAGCAAGAAAGGUUAUGGUAUGUCUUAUGAGUGUCUGGAACAUCAGAAAAACUAUGGAAGAUGAUGUUAAUAGUGAUCUUCAAACUACAGAUGACGGAGGGUGAUGAAAAUGGAGAGGGUCAGGAGAAUAAAUUAAUUCAUGCAUAUAAAGCUGCUAUGAGAUUCCAAAGACAAGCAGCAGGUCACCUGAUUUGCUUUUAUAGCUAUAGUCAAGGAUCUGUAUUAACAAUAAUUUCUGUCUUAUGAUUCAACAUUAAUGUGUACCCAAGUAUGGAUUUUUGUACACCAGAAGUCAUUUUUCAGUUCGUGUUAUACCUAGUUUUACUUAUCAGUGAAACUAAGGCCAUGUAGUAAGAAAUAUCAGGGCAAUGUUAUUUAAAGCAUGGGUAAAUUUUCUGUGCCUACUGUUAGGCUUGUGAAUUUAUUGAGCACUACUGUGUCAAUUGUUAUAGAAGAGGCUUUACAUAUUUAAUGUGUAACAUAUUAGUAUACUGUUCUUAAAAAUAAAAGAAUGAGACUCAGAGCGGAUCUGCAACUUAUUUAAGGUACCCACAUAGUUAAGAGUAAAGAGUCAGUUUUGAGCACAAGCCUACCUGACUCUAAGACAUGAGCUGUUUUCAUUAUACAAUGAUGCCUACAAACUUGAGGUAUGUGAUAAACUGUUCAGCUCAGUAUCUGAUACAUCAUUAGUCUUCAAUAAGUUUAUUAUUAUUAUUAUUAUUAUUAAAAUAUGAUUAAAUCUUAUGGGAAGUCCCUCUUUUUUUAAUGAAGUAAAACCUUAACCUCUUAUUCAAUAAAUGAUUGCUCCUUCUGGCAGCUCAUCUUAUGAAAAAGUAUAGGGUUGAGAAUACAAAACAUGGUAGAUACAGAUUUAUGUAAGCUUUAGUCUCAAGAAGUGAUGGUUAUGCUAGUAAGUUGACACUCAAAUUGGUGAGCACAUUCUGUACAGUGGGCUAUUUUUUCUCUGCUGUAUCCCUUGGUGAUAAACCCUUGCAAAAUCUGUGACACUUCAAAGAGAAAGAAGUUUUGCUCCAAAACUUUGAGGACUGGUUUAUCCCUGCAGAUUUGCUUUUAUAGCUAUAGUCAAGGAUCUGUAUUAACAAUAAUUUCUGUGUUGUGAUUCAACAUUAAUGUCAUCUGAUAAGACCUUAAUUUAUUUACUAGGUAGUAAUCCUGACAGCACCAUAAAUAAACUACUGAAUUAGUUCUUUCCUCUUGAUUGGCUUACAUUUAUGUGGUCAAUAGAUUUGCAAUAAAGGGAUCUUUUCCUGCCUUUUGAGUAGGUGACAGAUUGUGCAGAUCAAAGAUUAUUUCCUUUUCAUACUUGUAUAAACUUUAGAG
Long non-coding RNA from Myotis myotis, 2354 nucleotides. RefSeq lists it as uncharacterized. Lineage: Eukaryota; Metazoa; Chordata; Mammalia; Chiroptera; Vespertilionidae. The transcript is spliced from 6 exons. The record is from RefSeq and is a predicted model, not a curated record.